Molecule: ribosomal RNA, 492 nt
Filed under: uncultured bacterium
Lineage: Bacteria
Description: partial 16S ribosomal RNA
Rfam family: Bacterial small subunit ribosomal RNA
Source: RNAcentral
AGUGAACGCUGGCGGUAGGCCUAACACAUGCAAGUCGAACGGCAGCACAGUAAGAGCUUGCUCUUACGGGUGGCGAGUGGCGGACGGGUGAGGAAUACAUCGGAAUCUACUUUUUCGUGGGGGAUAACGUAGGGAAACUUACGCUAAUACCGCAUACGACCUACGGUUGAAAGCAGGGGAUCUUCGGACCUUGCGCGAUUGAAUGAGCCGAUGUCGGAUUAGCUAGUUGGCGGGGUAAAGGCCCACCAAGGCGACGAUCCGUAGCUGGUCUGAGAGGAUGAUCAGCCACACUGGAACUGAGACACGGUCCAGACUCCUACGGGAGGCAGCAGUGGGGAAUAUUGGACAAUGGGCGCAAGCCUGAUCCAGCCAUACCGCGUGGGUGAAGAAGGCCUUCGGGUUGUAAAGCCCUUUUGUUGGGAAAGAAAAGCAGCAGGUUAAUAACCCGCUGUUCUGACGGUACCCAAAGAAUAAGCACCGGCUAACUUCGUG